GUUAGCUCGUAAAUAUAGUUUGAUUAUAAAUGUAGAAGAUGAAAUUAAUAUGAGUAAUGUAUGGGACUCUAUACAAACUUUUGAAAAAGAAUAUUGGCACCAUGAAGUAUGGAAUGAUAAAAAUAAUGUCAAUGGUAAUAAAUUAAGAUUUUAUAGAUUGUUUAAAACUUGUAUUGGUACGGAGCCUUAUGUAAAGGUAGUUAAUAAUAGAUGCCACCGACGUAUUUUGUCACUAUUCAGAGCUGGUUCGUUACAACUUAAAGUUGAAACAGGUCGAUAUGCUAGACCACCAGAACCUCUACAAGACCGUUUAUGUAUUUUUUGUGAUAGUAGCCAAAUUGAAGAUGAAAAACACUUUCUUUUUAAUUGUUGUUUUUACUCUGAUAUCAGACAUGAAUUAUAUGCCAAAGCCUGUCUUUUAAAUGUUGAUUUUGAGAAUUUAUGUGAUGUUGAAAAACUUCGUUAUCUUAUGUGUAAUGAGAAUAUGGUUCCUCUUUUAGCUAGUUCCCUUUAUCAUAUGUUUUAUCGACGAAAACAUGUCAUCUAGAAAUUAUAUAUGUUUUGUUAUUUUUUAUUUAUUUUUUUAAUUUACGAAAUACAUUUUAAAUGUAUCAAAGCUGUCCUUUUAUGUAUGUAUUAGAUGUUUGUUUUAAUGAUAGUGUCUCAUAAGUCGUUUUCGGCUGGCAUCCUUUUACAUAAAUGUUGGGUUCUUAUGACUUUAUGUGUAUAUAUAUAUAUUGAUAUUGUAAUGGAUGGUGACACUUUAAUAAAAUAAAUCUUAUCUUAUCUUAUCUUAUCUUAUCUUAAUAAAGAGAGGAUACAAGGAGCUUGAAAUCGAAAAGUACAUAAAUUAGGCAUUAUCUUGUAAUAAAUCGGAUUUAAUCAGAAAAAAGGCCAAACAAAACACAAAGGAAAUUCCUUUAGUAUUGGCAACGAAAUUUAAUCCAUGCAUUCAUAAAUUAAAACAAUGCAUUAGUUAACAUUGGGAUCUACUAAAACAGGAUGUAGUUUGCAACGAAAUAUGUUCACGCAAACCAAUAAUAGCUUAUAAAAAGCAUAAAAAUAUUGCAGAUCUAUU
This 1078-nucleotide long non-coding RNA is filed under the name Mytilus galloprovincialis (Mediterranean mussel). The record is from RNAcentral. Lineage: Eukaryota; Metazoa; Mollusca; Bivalvia; Mytilida; Mytilidae.